This 76-nucleotide transfer RNA is filed under the name Candidatus [Bacteroides] periocalifornicus. Its description in RNAcentral is "Candidatus Bacteroides periocalifornicus tRNA-Lys". It matches the Rfam family "tRNA". From Rfam's summary of the family: Transfer RNA (tRNA) molecules are approximately 80 nucleotides in length. Their secondary structure includes four short double-helical elements and three loops (D, anti-codon, and T loops). The record is from RNAcentral. Lineage: Bacteria; Pseudomonadati; Bacteroidota.
GAUCCAGUAGCUCAGCUGGUAGAGCACAUCCCUUUUAAGGAUGGGGCCCUGGGUUCAAGUCCCAGCUGGAUCACUA